GACGAACCGAGCGAACGUUGUUCGGAAUCACUGGGCUUAAAGGGCGCGUAGGCGGGCUGUCAAGUCUGGGGUGAAAUCCCGCGGCUCAACCGUGGAACUGCCUCAGAUACUGACGGCCUCGAGGGAGGUAGGGGCGAGCGGAACUAAUGGUGGAGCGGUGAAAUGCGUUGAUAUCAUUAGGAACUCCGGUGGCGAAGGCGGCUCGCUGGACCUCUUCUGACGCUGAGGCGCGACAGCGUGGGGAGCAAACAGG
This 253-nucleotide ribosomal RNA is filed under the name uncultured bacterium. RNAcentral's name for it is "partial 16S ribosomal RNA". It matches the Rfam family "Bacterial small subunit ribosomal RNA", at positions 524 to 776 of the family's 1533-position model. The record is from RNAcentral.